RNAcentral lists this unclassified non-coding RNA (372 nucleotides) under uncultured Gammaproteobacteria bacterium. Its description in RNAcentral is "contains 16S-23S intergenic spacer region". Lineage: Bacteria; Pseudomonadati; Pseudomonadota; Gammaproteobacteria. The record is from RNAcentral.
UCCGGUUUGUCACCGGCAGUCUCAUUAGAGUGCCCUUUCGUAGCAACUAAUGACAAGGGUUGCGCUCGUUGCGGGACUUAACCCAACAUCUCACGACACGAGCUGACGACAGCCAUGCAGCACCUGUGUGCCAGUUCCCUUGCGGGCACGCCCCCAUCUCUGAGAGCUUCUGGCCAUGUCAAGGGUAGGUAAGGUUUUUCGCGUUGCAUCGAAUUAAUCCACAUCAUCCACCGCUUGUGCGGGUCCCCGUCAAUUCCUUUGAGUUUUAAUCUUGCGACCGUACUCCCCAGGCGGUCGACUUCACGCGUUAGCUGCGUUACCAAGGAAAUGAAUCCCCGACAACUAGUCGACAUCGUUUAGGGCGUGGACUAC